Molecule: unclassified non-coding RNA, 354 nt
Filed under: Ascomycota sp.
Lineage: Eukaryota; Fungi; Ascomycota
Description: partial internal transcribed spacer 1
Source: RNAcentral
AAAGUCGUAACAAGGUUUCUGUAGGUAAGUAAACACUUGCCCCCUUCACCAUCAACUCCCCAAGUAAACCAUUACUAACACUACAUUUCUAGGUGAACCUGCGGAAGGAUCAUUACCGAGUAAGGGUUCCUAGAACGCGUCCGACCUCCAACCCCGUGUUUACCAAAUCAAAAUGUUGCUUCGGCAGGUCCGGCCCUUCCCCUUCACCGGAAAGGAGGCCGCCGCAGGUCCUUGCAUGACCUCGGGCCUGCGCCUGUCGAUGGCCCUAACCGAGAGUAUUGGUGAAACGUGGCAUCUGAGUUAGCUCACUAAAUGAAAAUUAAGAACUUUGAACAACGGAUUCUCUUGGUUCUG